RNAcentral lists this long non-coding RNA (221 nucleotides) under Elaeis guineensis (African oil palm). Its description in RNAcentral is "long non-coding RNA (EGUI_LNC053219)". The record is from RNAcentral. Lineage: Eukaryota; Viridiplantae; Streptophyta; Magnoliopsida; Arecales; Arecaceae.
UUUGACUUAACUAAGGAAUGUAGCCAAUAUCUAUUAGGUGAGCCUACAUAAUUUAGAGAUCGAAUCACUGCAUUAUGCUUGAAGAAGCAUUGGACAAGAGUCAUCCACUCAUCGGUGUAACAUAUUAACCAAUAUCUAUAAGAUGAGGUGCACGUAUAUUGAUGGGACCGUAGUACCUACUAGAUAUUUUUAUCGUAUUAGAAUUUUUAUUUCUCCAUCCG